UACGUAGGUGGCGAGCGUUGUUCGGAAUCACUGGGCAUAAAGCGCACGUAGGCGGCGGCGUAAGUUGGAUGUGAAAUCCCCCGGCCCAACCGGGGAACUGCGUCCAGUACUGCGUUGCUUGAGGAUCCAAGGGGUGCAUGGAAUUCCCGGUGGAGCGGUGAAAUGCGUUGAUAUCGGGAGGAACUCCGGCGGCGAAAGCGGUGCACUGGUGGAUUACUGACGCUGAGGUGCGAAAGCCAGGGGAGCAAACGGG
RNAcentral lists this ribosomal RNA (253 nucleotides) under uncultured bacterium. RNAcentral's name for it is "partial 16S ribosomal RNA". It matches the Rfam family "Bacterial small subunit ribosomal RNA", at positions 524 to 776 of the family's 1533-position model. The record is from RNAcentral.